AUGGACCUCAACUGGGAAUUCAUCCCUGCUCCGAUUUCUGACCUCGCAGACUUGGUGAUGCCUUUCUCGUUGGAGGAGGUCAAGGCGGCAAUCUUUGCCCUCCCUAGUGAUAAAGCCCCAGGCCCUGACGGAUUCACCGGAGCCUUCUUCAAAGAGUGUUGGGAAAUAGUCCAACCUGAAAUCAUGGAGGUCAUCAACAACUUCUCUAACCUUCAUGUCUCCAACUUGCAUUGGCUGAACUCAGCAAACAUAGCUCUCAUUCCGAAGAAAGAUGGUGCAGAGGACAUCUCAGAUUUUCGACCAAUUAGUCUCAUCCAUGGUAUUACCAAGAUCAUUGCAAAAAUGAUGGCCACAUGGCUCACUCCUCAUAUGCACAAACUAGUCUCCAAUGCACAGAGUGCUUUCAUCAAGAAAAGAAGUAUCCAUGACAAUUUUAUGUAUGUGCGCAACUUGGCUAGGCGCUUCCAACGCACAAAUACACUAACUUUCCUUUUCAAGCUUGACAUAAAGAAGGCUUUUGAUUCG
This 525-nucleotide ribosomal RNA is filed under the name Triticum aestivum (bread wheat). RNAcentral's name for it is "partial small subunit ribosomal RNA". Lineage: Eukaryota; Viridiplantae; Streptophyta; Magnoliopsida; Poales; Poaceae. The record is from RNAcentral.